UCCAGCUUAUCGCUGGCGGUCUCCUGCGAGUCCCCCCUUGCGGGAUGGCAACACAGGACAAGGGUUGCGCUCGUUGCGGGACUUAACCCAACAUCUCACGACACGAGCUGACGACAGCCAUGCAGCACCUCGACCGGACUCCCUUGCGGGAUAGCAGUGUUUCCACCGCCGUUAGCCGGCCGUUCGAGCCCAGGUAAGGUUCUUCGCGUUGCGUCGAAUUGAACCACAUGCUCCACCGCUUGUGCGGGCCCCCGUCAAUUCCUUUGAGUUUCAGCCUUGCGACUGUACUCCCCAGGCGGCAUAUUUAACGCGUUGGCUCCGGCACGGAGGGGGUCAAGUCCCCCCAAGCACCUAGUGCCCAUCGUUUACGGCGUGGACUAC
Molecule: unclassified non-coding RNA, 381 nt
Filed under: uncultured Bryobacterales bacterium
Lineage: Bacteria; Pseudomonadati; Acidobacteriota; Terriglobia; Bryobacterales
Description: contains 16S-23S intergenic spacer region
Source: RNAcentral